CCUACGGGAGGCUGCAGUCGAGAAUAUUCCACAAUGGGCGAAAGCCUGAUGGAGCGACGCCGCGUGCGGGAUGACGGCCUUCGGGUUGUAAACCGCUUUUCUAAAGGAAGAAUUUCGUGACGGUACUUUAGGAAUAAGAGGUUGCUAACUCCGUGCCAGCAGCAGCGGUAAUACGGAGACCUCAAGCGUUAUCCGGAUUUAUUGGGCGUAAAGGGUGUGUAGGCGGUUCAAAUAGUCAGAUGUUAAAUCAUCCCACUCAAUGGGAUGGCUGCAUUUGAAACGUUUGGACUAGAGGCAGGCAGAGGUUAACGGAACUCAUGGUGUAGCAGUGAAAUGCGUUGAUAUCAUGGGGAACACCAAAGGCGAAGGCAGUUAGCUGGGCCUUGUCUGACGCUGAGACACGAAAGCGUGGGUAGCGAAUGGGAUUAGAUACCCUUGUAGUC
RNAcentral lists this ribosomal RNA (443 nucleotides) under uncultured bacterium. Its description in RNAcentral is "bacterial SSU rRNA". It matches the Rfam family "Bacterial small subunit ribosomal RNA", at positions 338 to 795 of the family's 1533-position model. The record is from RNAcentral.